UCCAGGAGUACUUCCGGAAGUUCAAGAAGCGCAAAGAGCAGGGCCUUGUGGGCAAGCCCUCCCAGAGGAACGCGCUGUCUCUGCAGGCUGGCUUGCGCACACUGCAUGACAUCGGGCCUGAGAUCCGACGGGCCAUCUCUGGAGAUCUCACCGCUGAGGAGGAGCUGGACAAGGCCAUGAAGGAGGCUGUGUCCGCUGCUUCUGAAGAUGACAUCUUCAGGAGGGCCGGUGGCCUGUUCGGCAACCACGUCAGCUACUACCAAAGCGACGGCCGGAGCGCCUUCCCCCAGACCUUCACCACUCAGCGCCCGCUGCACAUCAACAAGGCGGGCAGCAGCCAGGGCGACACUGAGUCGCCAUCCCACGAGAAGCUGGUGGACUCCACCUUCACCCCGAGCAGCUACUCGUCCACCGGCUCCAACGCCAACAUCAACAACGCCAACAACACCGCCCUGGGUCGCCUCCCUCGCCCCGCCGGCUACCCCAGCACGGUCAGCACUGUGGAGGGCCACGGGCCCCCCUUGUCCCCUGCCAUCCGGGUGCAGGAGGUGGCGUGGAAGCUCAGCUCCAACAGGUGCCACUCCCGGGAGAGCCAGGCAGCCAUGGCGGGUCAGGAGGAGACGUCUCAGGAUGAGACCUAUGAAGUGAAGAUGAACCAUGACACGGAGGCCUGCAGUGAGCCCAGCCUGCUCUCCACAGAGAUGCUCUCCUACCAGGAUGACGAAAAUCGGCAACUGACGCUCCCAGAGGAGGACAAGAGGGACAUCCGGCAAUCUCCGAAGAGGGGUUUCCUCCGCUCUGCCUCACUAGGUCGAAGGGCCUCCUUCCACCUGGAAUGUCUGAAGCGACAGAAGGACCGAGGGGGAGACAUCUCUCAGAAGACAGUCCUGCCCUUGCAUCUGGUUCAUCAUCAGGUAGCUCACACUUUUGGACAGGCCACUGUCACCUGCCAGCAGGCCAGACAGUCCCCAGGGUGACGGACAAAUCCUGAAGACUUCAGUGGGUCUUGCCUGUCUCAGAUGGCUGGCACGUCCUGCCCCUGCCCUAAGAGCCAUCCCUGUAGGGCUUCACACUCCUGUGCAGGUGAGGGCCACGGCAAGGUCUGCAGCAUCGCAGGUGGGGGCCUAGGAAGUGCUGGUGCACAGGAGCUCUUUGUGUGAUCCUGAGGACCCACAGCUGCAGGUUCCACCUGAGCUUUCUUCUUAGGCUGCCACAGAUGCCACUGACGCCUCUGACACUGGCCUAUGCCUCAGGGCACUCAGGAAGAUGUACUUGUACCUAGAGUUUGAAUAUACCUGGAAAUUUUGCCACACAAAAAUCCAUCCAGUGACAUAAA
This 1336-nucleotide unclassified non-coding RNA is filed under the name Homo sapiens (human). RNAcentral describes it as "calcium voltage-gated channel subunit alpha1 C (ENSG00000285479.3)". The record is from RNAcentral. Lineage: Eukaryota; Metazoa; Chordata; Mammalia; Primates; Hominidae.